UACGUAGGGGGCAAGCGUUGUCCGGAUUCAUUGGGCGUAAAGAGCGUGUAGGCGGCCAGGUAGGUCGGUUGUGAAAACUGGAGGCUCAACCUUCAGAGGUCGACCGAAACCAUCUGGCUAGAGUCCGGGAGAGGAGAGUGGAAUUCCUGGUGUAGCGGUGAAAUGCGUAGAUAUCGGAAGGAACAUCAGUGGCGAAAGCGGCUUCCUGGACCAGAACUGACGAUCAGGCACGAAAGCGUGGGGAGCAAACAGG
RNAcentral lists this ribosomal RNA (253 nucleotides) under uncultured bacterium. Its description in RNAcentral is "partial 16S ribosomal RNA". It matches the Rfam family "Bacterial small subunit ribosomal RNA", at positions 524 to 776 of the family's 1533-position model. The record is from RNAcentral.